RNAcentral lists this ribosomal RNA (484 nucleotides) under uncultured bacterium. RNAcentral's name for it is "partial 16S ribosomal RNA". It matches the Rfam family "Bacterial small subunit ribosomal RNA", at positions 30 to 507 of the family's 1533-position model. The record is from RNAcentral.
AUUGAACGCUGGCGGCAGGCCUAACACAUGCAAGUCGAGCGGAUGAAGGGAGCUUGCUCCUGGAUUCAGCGGCGGACGGGUGAGUAAUGCCUAGGAAUCUGCCUGGUAGUGGGGGAUAACGUCCGGAAACGGGCGCUAAUACCGCAUACGUCCUGAGGGAGAAAGUGGGGGAUCUUCGGACCUCACGCUAUCAGAUGAGCCUAGGUCGGAUUAGCUAGUUGGUGGGGUAAAGGCCUACCAAGGCGACGAUCCGUAACUGGUCUGAGAGGAUGAGCAGUCACACGGGAACUGAGACACCGACAAGACUCCUAAGAGACGCACCAGUGGGCAACAUUGGACAAUGGGCGAAAGCAUUAUCCAGCCAUGCCGAGUGUGUGAAGAAGGUCUUCCGAUCGUAAAGCCCUUUAAGUUGGGAGAAAGGGCAGUCAGUUAAUACCUUGCUGUUUUGACGUUAACAACAGAAUAAGCACCGGCUAACUUCGUG